RNAcentral lists this ribosomal RNA (447 nucleotides) under uncultured bacterium. RNAcentral's name for it is "partial 16S ribosomal RNA". It matches the Rfam family "Bacterial small subunit ribosomal RNA", at positions 29 to 523 of the family's 1533-position model. The record is from RNAcentral.
AACGAACGCUGGCGGCAGGCUUAACACAUGCAAGUCGAACGCCCCGCAAGGGGAGUGGCAGACGGGUGAGUAACGCGUGGGAAUCUACCCAUCUCUGCGGAAUAGCUCCGGGAAACUGGAAUUAAUACCGCAUACGCCCUACGGGGGACAGAUUUAUCGGGGAUGGAUGAGCCCGCGUUGGAUUAGCUAGUUGGUGGGGUAAAGGCCUACCAAGGCGACGAUGCAUAGCUGGUCUGAGAGGAUGAUCAGCCACAUUGGGACUGAGACACGGCCCAACCUCCUACGGGAGGCAGCAGUGGGGAAUAUUGGACAAUGGGCGCAAGCCUGAUCCAGCCAUGCCGCGUGAGUGAUGAAGGCCUUAGGGUUGUAAAGCUCUUUCACCGGUGAAGUUAAUGCCGGUAACCGGAGAAGAAGCCCCGGCUAACUUCGUGCCAGCCGCCGCCGUAA